GACGCGGUGGCGAAGGGGUUCAACGCUGCGGUUUGCAAAACCGCCAUUCGUGGGUUCAAAUCCCACCCGCGUCUCCA
Molecule: transfer RNA, 77 nt
Filed under: Minisyncoccota bacterium
Lineage: Bacteria; Bacillati; Minisyncoccota
Description: tRNA-Cys
Rfam family: tRNA
About the family: Transfer RNA (tRNA) molecules are approximately 80 nucleotides in length.
Source: RNAcentral